This 424-nucleotide ribosomal RNA is filed under the name uncultured prokaryote. RNAcentral's name for it is "bacterial SSU rRNA". It matches the Rfam family "Bacterial small subunit ribosomal RNA", at positions 355 to 796 of the family's 1533-position model. The record is from RNAcentral.
UGGGGAAUAUUGGACAAUGGGCGCAAGCCUGAUCCAGCCAUGCCGCGUGAGUGAAGAAGGCCCUAGGGUUGUAAAGCUCUUUCACCGGGGAAGAUAAUGACGGUACCCGGAGAAGAAGCCCCGGCUAACUCCGUGCCAGCAGCCGCGGUAAUACGGAGGGGGCUAGCGUUGUUCGGAAUUACUGGGCGUAAAGCGCGCGUAGGCGGCUUGCCAAGUUGGGGGUGAAAGCCCGGAGCCUAACUCCGGAACUGCCCUCAAAACUGGCAGGCUAGAGUCCGGGAGAGGAGAGUGGAAUUCCCAGUGUAGAGGUGAAAUUCGUAGAUAUUGGGAAGAACACCAGUGGCGAAGGCGGCUCUCUGGACCGGUACUGACGCUGAGGUGCGAAAGCGUGGGGAGCAAACAGGAUUAGAUACCCCUGUAGUCC